RNAcentral lists this non-coding RNA (29 nucleotides) under Rattus norvegicus (Norway rat). Lineage: Eukaryota; Metazoa; Chordata; Mammalia; Rodentia; Muridae. The record is from RNAcentral.
UAAUAGGUUUUCUUCUAUGUUCUCAUUGA